GACGAACGCUGGCGGCGUGCUUAACACAUGCAAGUCGAACGAAGAGCGAUGGAAGCUUGCUUCUAUCAAUCUUAGUGGCGAACGGGUGAGUAACGCGUAAUCAACCUGCCCUUCAGAGGGGGACAACAGUUGGAAACGACUGCUAAUACCGCAUACGAUCUAAUCUCGGCAUCGAGGAUAGAUGAAAGGUGGCCUCUACAUGUAAGCUAUCACUGAAGGAGGGGAUUGCGUCUGAUUAGCUAGUUGGAGGGGUAACGGCCCACCAAGGCGAUGAUCAGUAGCCGGUCUGGGAGGAUGAACGGCCACAUUGGGACUGAGACACGGCCCAGACUCCUACGGGAGGCAGCAGUGGGGAAUCUUCCGCAAUGGACGAAAGUCUGACGGAGCAACGCCGCGUGAGCGAUGACGGCCUUCGGGUUGUAAAGCUCUGUUAAUCGGGACGAAAGGCCUUCUUGCGAAUAGUGAGAAGGAUUGACGGUACCGGAAUAGAAAGCUACGGCUAACUACGUG
RNAcentral lists this ribosomal RNA (510 nucleotides) under uncultured bacterium. RNAcentral's name for it is "partial 16S ribosomal RNA". It matches the Rfam family "Bacterial small subunit ribosomal RNA", at positions 28 to 507 of the family's 1533-position model. The record is from RNAcentral.